CCUACGGGAGGCAGCAGUGAGGAAUAUUGGUCAAUGGGCGGGAGCCUGAACCAGCCAAGUAGCGUGAAGGAUGACAGCCCUAUGGGUUUUAAACUUCUUUUAUAAGGGAAUAAAGUGCCCCACGUGGGGGGGUUUGUAUGUACCUUAUGAAUAAGGAUCGGCUAACUCCGUGCCAGCAGCCGCGGUAAUACGGAGGAUCCGAGCGUUAUCCGGAUUUAUUGGGUUUAAAGGGAGCGUAGAUGGGUUGUUAAGUCAGUUGUGAAAGUUUGCGGCUCAACCGUAAAAUUGCAAUUGAUACUGGCAGCCUUGAGUACAGUUGAGGUAGGCGGAAUUCGUGGUGUAGCGGUGAAAUGCUUAGAUAUCACGAAGAACUCCGAUUGCGAAGGCAGCUUACUAAACUGCCACUGACAUUGAUGCUCGAAAGUGUGGGUAUCAAACAGGAUUAGAUACCCCUGUAGUC
Molecule: ribosomal RNA, 460 nt
Filed under: uncultured bacterium
Lineage: Bacteria
Description: partial 16S ribosomal RNA
Rfam family: Bacterial small subunit ribosomal RNA
Source: RNAcentral